UGAGCGAUGCCCCUUCGUUAGUCGACAAAGACUGCCACAGGCACACACACGUUUUUGCCACUGUUUUAUGUGUGCUUUUCCUUCCAACCUUUCGACACGACUCCGCCUCUUCUUGCUGAGAGACGAAAAAGAAACAGCGGACAUCCGUUCCUACCUGUGGAAGGGAAUUUCCUAACGGUCUCGCAGUAAACUACAAUGACAACAAGCGGAUGAAGAGAGCGAUUUGAAAAUGACAUUAGUUUUACCAACAGUUAAGUUGACACUAGCUUUUACGACGCAGGUGCAUCUUUAUACGUGCCUUUCAUUCCGAGCACGUGAAACUUCAUCAUAUCAAAACUUUACGUUCUCCAUCAAGGUCCGUCAGAAGUUGAAAACAAAACUGAUUUCCUGCUCUGACACACAUCUGUUAAAUAAACAAUCGUAUUUAUAGUUACAUUUUUUUUUAUAGAACCAGAAAAAUCUUCAUGAAAUCGGCAUUCAAUGUGAGUAAAGAACUUUAUAUGGAAAACACAAGAAGAGUUAACCUUUCAGUUCUUAGAUGCAGUCUCCUUUCGUGGAUAAUUUGUAGUCAUGUUGCCACAGAGGGUUAAGGCAUUGAGAAUAAUACGAGAACAGUUGUAGUUAAUCUACAAAACUGUAAACCUCCCGGUGACUGGCUCCACAAAAUUGCACACUAUUUUUAACAAGCCUCACCAAUCUUGUACAGGUCACAGUAAUUAUUGUUGAAAUUUCUGUUUAUAAAUAAAGUAAAAGAGCUCUUUUUCA
Molecule: long non-coding RNA, 765 nt
Organism: Limulus polyphemus (Atlantic horseshoe crab)
Lineage: Eukaryota; Metazoa; Arthropoda; Merostomata; Xiphosura; Limulidae
Exons: 2
Source: RefSeq, a predicted model, not a curated record